CCUACGGGAGGCAGCAGUGAGGAAUAUUGGUCAAUGGACGAGAGUCUGAACCAGCCAAGUCGCGUGAAGGAUGACUGCCCUAUGGGUUGUAAACUUCUUUUGUCAAGGAAUAAAACGAGGCACGUGUGCCUUUUUGCAUGUACUUUAUGAAAAAGGAUCGGCUAACUCCGUGCCCGCAGCCGCGGUAAUACGGAGGAUGCGAGCGUUAUCCGGAUUUAUUGGGUUUAAAGGGAGCGGAGAUGGGUUGUUAAGUCAGGUGUGAAAGUGUGGGGCUGAAACCCAAAAUUGCCAUUGAUACUGGCAGUCUUGAGUACAGUAGAGGUAAGCGGAAUGCGUGGUGUAGCGGUGAAAUGCUUAGAUAUCACGAAGAACCCCGAUUGCGAAGGCAGCUUACUA
RNAcentral lists this ribosomal RNA (396 nucleotides) under uncultured bacterium. RNAcentral's name for it is "partial 16S ribosomal RNA". It matches the Rfam family "Bacterial small subunit ribosomal RNA", at positions 338 to 731 of the family's 1533-position model. The record is from RNAcentral.